UACGUAGGGGGCAAGCGUUGUCCGGAUUUAUUGGGCGUAAAGAGCGUGUAGGCGGCCUGGAAGGUCAGCUGUGAAAACUCGAGGCUCAACCUCGAGACGUCGGUUGAAACCACCUGGCUAGAGUCCGGAAGAGGAGAGUGGAAUUCCCGGUGUAGCGGUGAAAUGCGUAGAGAUCGAGAGGAACACCAGUGGCGAAGGCGAGUUCCUGGACAAGUCCUGACGCUGAGGCACGAAAGCCAGGGGAGCAAACAGG
This 253-nucleotide ribosomal RNA is filed under the name uncultured bacterium. RNAcentral describes it as "partial 16S ribosomal RNA". It matches the Rfam family "Bacterial small subunit ribosomal RNA", at positions 524 to 776 of the family's 1533-position model. The record is from RNAcentral.